GUAGGUGAACCUGCGGAGGGAUCAUUACCGAGCGAGGGCCCCCGGCCCGACCUCCAACCCUUUGUUAUCAGAAAAUUUUGUUUCCUCGGGGGCGACCCGGCCUUUAAGUGUCGGGGGCUCCCGGCGGACCAUUACCCCAACUCUGCGUCCAUGCGUCGGAUUCUAAAGAUAAAACGAAUCAAAACUUUCAACAACGGAUCUCUUGGUUCUGGCAUCGAUGAAGAACGCAGCAUCUGACUGACUCGGAAGU
RNAcentral lists this unclassified non-coding RNA (250 nucleotides) under plant metagenome. RNAcentral's name for it is "partial contains small subunit ribosomal RNA, internal transcribed spacer 1, and 5.8S ribosomal RNA". The record is from RNAcentral.